This 467-nucleotide ribosomal RNA is filed under the name uncultured bacterium. RNAcentral describes it as "partial 16S ribosomal RNA". It matches the Rfam family "Bacterial small subunit ribosomal RNA", at positions 29 to 507 of the family's 1533-position model. The record is from RNAcentral.
ACGAACGCUGGCGGCGUGCUUAACCCAUGCCAGUCGAACGGAAAGGCCCUGCUUUUGUGGGGUGCUCGAGUGGCGAACGGGUGAGUAACACGUGAGUAACCUGCCCUUGACUUUGGGAUAACUUCAGGAAACUGGGGCUAAUACCGGAUAGGAGCUCCUGCUGCAUGGUGGGGGUUGGAAAGUUUCGGCGGUUGGGGAUGGACUCGCGGCUUAUCAGCUUGUUGGUGGGGUAGUGGCUUACCAAGGCUUUGACGGGUAGCCGGCCUGAGAGGGUGACCGGCCACAUUGGGACUGAGAUACGGCCCAGACUCCUACGGGAGGCAGCAGUGGGGAAUAUUGCACAAUGGGCGGAAGCCUGAUGCAGCAACGCCGCGUGCGGGAUGACGGCCUUCGGGUUGUAAACCGCUUUCGCCUGUGACGAAGCGUGAGUGACGGUAAUGGGUAAAGAAGCACCGGCUAACUACGUG